This 85-nucleotide transfer RNA is filed under the name Felis catus (domestic cat). It matches the Rfam family "tRNA". From Rfam's summary of the family: Transfer RNA (tRNA) molecules are approximately 80 nucleotides in length. Their secondary structure includes four short double-helical elements and three loops (D, anti-codon, and T loops). The record is from Rfam by way of RNAcentral. Lineage: Eukaryota; Metazoa; Chordata; Mammalia; Carnivora; Felidae.
GCCUGGGUGGCUCAGUCGGUUAAGCGUCUGACUUGGGCUCAGGUCAUGAUCUCAUGGUCCGUGGGUUCGAGCCCCACGUCGGGCU